GACGAACGCUGGCGGCGUGCUUAACACAUGCAAGUCGAACGGAAAGGCCAUGCUUUUGUGGGGUGCUCGAGUGGCGAACGGGUGAGUAACACGUGAGUAACCUGCCCUUGACUUUGGGAUAACUUCAGGAAACUGGGGCUAAUACCGGAUAGGAGCUCCUGCUGCAUGGUGGGGGUUGGAAAGUUUCGGCGGUUGGGGAUGGACUCGCGGCUUAUCCGCUUGUUGGUGGGGUAGUGGCUUACCAAGGGUUUGACGGGUAGCCGGCCUGAGAGGGUGACCGGCCACAUUGGGACUGAGGUACGGCCCAGACGCCUACGGGAGGCAGCAGUGGGGAAUAUUGCACAAUGGGCGGAAGCCUGAUGCAGCAACGCCGCGUGCGGGAUGACGUCCUUCGGGUUGUAAACCGCUUUCGCCGGUGACGAAGCGUGAGUGACGGUAAUGGGUAAAGAAGCACCGGCUAACUACGUG
Molecule: ribosomal RNA, 468 nt
Filed under: uncultured bacterium
Lineage: Bacteria
Description: partial 16S ribosomal RNA
Rfam family: Bacterial small subunit ribosomal RNA
Source: RNAcentral